This 72-nucleotide transfer RNA is filed under the name Candidatus Uhrbacteria bacterium. RNAcentral describes it as "tRNA-Phe". It matches the Rfam family "tRNA". Rfam says of the family: Transfer RNA (tRNA) molecules are approximately 80 nucleotides in length. The record is from RNAcentral. Lineage: Bacteria; Candidatus Uhriibacteriota.
GCCGAGGUAGCUCAGUGGUAGAGCGCAGCCCUGAAGAGGCUGGCGUAGUGGGUUCGAUUCCCACCCUCGGCA